RNAcentral lists this unclassified non-coding RNA (348 nucleotides) under soil metagenome. RNAcentral's name for it is "partial contains 5.8S ribosomal RNA, internal transcribed spacer 2, and large subunit ribosomal RNA". The stretch from base 1 to 120 matches the Rfam family "5.8S ribosomal RNA", at positions 35 to 154 of the family's 154-position model. The record is from RNAcentral.
GAUGAAGAACGCAGCGAAAUCCGAUAAGUAAUGUGAAUUGCAGAAUUCAGUGAAUCAUCGAAUCUUUGAACGCACAUUGCGCCCGCCAGUAUUCUGGCGGGCAUGCCUGUCUGAGCGUCAUUUCAACCCUCAUGCCCCUAGGGCGUGGUGUUGGGGAUCGGCCAAAGCCCGCGAGGGACGGCCGGCCCCUAAAUCUAGUGGCGGACCCGUCGUGGCCUCCUCUGCGAAGUAGUGAUAUUCCGCAUCGGAGAGCGACGAGCCCCUGCCGUUAAACCCCCAACUUUCCAAGGUUGACCUCAGAUCAGGUAGGAAUACCCGCUGAACUUAAGCAUAUCAAUAAGCGGAGGA